GAAAGACUGUAACAAACAUCACAGAAAGGCAGAAGUACCCCUCUUCUUCAGAAUCCAACCACAACUGGUGUUUGUUGGCAACUUAAGUCCUUCUUGAUUUCCCAUCAUCUGCUACCUUGUGCUGGAAGAUUUCAUGGAGUGAAACCUCCCACACUUUAACAGUGGGAAGUGAUGCCUCAUGGGGAAGAAUUGCCCUGAAAUGCUUUGGAGCAGCAGUGGGGUAUGAACAUCCAGCUGACCCAGCUCUGCUUCCAUCAGAGCAGUUUGGACUGAAGAAGAGCUCCUGCUGGGACAUUUUAAGAAUAAAAGCAAUUAACACAAAUAACAGUUGACUAUUUACAUUCUCAAGACCUGAUCUCUCUCUUAUUAAAAACAACUGAAAGACUCC
RNAcentral lists this long non-coding RNA (388 nucleotides) under Anser brachyrhynchus (Pink-footed goose). RNAcentral's name for it is "lncRNA (ENSABRG00000014425.1)". The record is from RNAcentral. Lineage: Eukaryota; Metazoa; Chordata; Aves; Anseriformes; Anatidae.